Molecule: transfer RNA, 75 nt
Filed under: Chloroflexota bacterium
Lineage: Bacteria; Bacillati; Chloroflexota
Also listed under: 2 other names
Description: Chloroflexi bacterium tRNA-Ile
Rfam family: tRNA
About the family: Transfer RNA (tRNA) molecules are approximately 80 nucleotides in length.
Source: RNAcentral
GGGCCCGUAGCUCAAGGGCAGAGCAAACGACUCAUAAUCGUUGGGUUGAUGGUUCGAAUCCAUCCGGGCCCACCA